CGCCCUUCCUACGGGAGGCAGCAGUGGGGAAUAUUGGACAAUGGGCGAAAGUCUGAUCCAGCAAUGCAGCGUGAGUGAUGAAGGCCCUAGGGUUGUAAAGCUCUUUACCCGGGAUGAUAAUACANNC
This 127-nucleotide ribosomal RNA is filed under the name uncultured bacterium. Its description in RNAcentral is "partial 16S ribosomal RNA". It matches the Rfam family "Bacterial small subunit ribosomal RNA", at positions 331 to 458 of the family's 1533-position model. The record is from RNAcentral.